This 1425-nucleotide ribosomal RNA is filed under the name Mycobacterium sp. RNAcentral describes it as "bacterial SSU rRNA". It matches the Rfam family "Bacterial small subunit ribosomal RNA". The record is from RNAcentral. Lineage: Bacteria; Bacillati; Actinomycetota; Actinomycetes; Mycobacteriales; Mycobacteriaceae.
CCCUUCGGGGUACUCGAGUGGCGAACGGGUGAGUAACACGUGGGUAAUCUGCCCUGCACAUCGGGAUAAGCCUGGGAAACUGGGUCUAAUACCGGAUAGGACCACGGGAUGCAUGUCCUGUGGUGGAAAGCUUUUGCGGUGUGGGAUGGGCCCGCGGCCUAUCAGCUUGUUGGUGGGGUGACGGCCUACCAAGGCGACGACGGGUAGCCGGCCUGAGAGGGUGUCCGGCCACACUGGGACUGAGAUACGGCCCAGACUCCUACGGGAGGCAGCAGUGGGGAAUAUUGCACAAUGGGCGCAAGCCUGAUGCAGCGACGCCGCGUGGGGGAUGACGGCCUUCGGGUUGUAAACCUCUUUCACCAUCGACGAAGGUUCGGGUUUUCUCGGAUUGACGGUAGGUGGAGAAGAAGCACCGGCCAACUACGUGCCAGCAGCCGCGGUAAUACGUAGGGUGCGAGCGUUGUCCGGAAUUACUGGGCGUAAAGAGCUCGUAGGUGGUUUGUCGCGUUGUUCGUGAAAUCUCACGGCUUAACUGUGAGCGUGCGAGCGAUACGGGCAGACUUGAGUACUGCAGGGGAGACUGGAAUUCCUGGUGUAGCGGUGGAAUGCGCAGAUAUCAGGAGGAACACCGGUGGCGAAGGCGGGUCUCUGGGCAGUAACUGACGCUGAGGAGCGAAAGCGUGGGGAGCGAACAGGAUUAGAUACCCUGGUAGUCCACGCCGUAAACGGUGGGUACUAGGUGUGGGUUUCCUUCCUUGGGAUCCGUGCCGUAGCUAACGCAUUAAGUACCCCGCCUGGGGAGUACGGCCGCAAGGCUAAAACUCAAAGGAAUUGACGGGGGCCCGCACAAGCGGCGGAGCAUGUGGAUUAAUUCGAUGCAACGCGAAGAACCUUACCUGGGUUUGACAUGCACAGGACGCCGGCAGAGAUGUCGGUUCCCUUGUGGCCUGUGUGCAGGUGGUGCAUGGCUGUCGUCAGCUCGUGUCGUGAGAUGUUGGGUUAAGUCCCGCAACGAGCGCAACCCUUGUCUCAUGUUGCCAGCGGGUAAUGCCGGGGACUCGUGAGAGACUGCCGGGGUCAACUCGGAGGAAGGUGGGGAUGACGUCAAGUCAUCAUGCCCCUUAUGUCCAGGGCUUCACACAUGCUACAAUGGCCGGUACAAAGGGCUGCGAUGCCGCGAGGUUAAGCGAAUCCUUUUAAAGCCGGUCUCAGUUCGGAUCGGGGUCUGCAACUCGACCCCGUGAAGUCGGAGUCGCUAGUAAUCGCAGAUCAGCAACGCUGCGGUGAAUACGUUCCCGGGCCUUGUACACACCGCCCGUCACGUCAUGAAAGUCGGUAACACCCGAAGCCAGUGGCCUAACCCUUUGGGAGGGAGCUGUCGAAGGUGGGAUCGGCGAUUGGGACGAAGUCGUAACAAGGUAGCCG